Molecule: ribosomal RNA, 2885 nt
Filed under: Oryzomicrobium terrae
Lineage: Bacteria; Pseudomonadati; Pseudomonadota; Betaproteobacteria; Rhodocyclales; Rhodocyclaceae
Description: 23S ribosomal RNA
Rfam family: Bacterial large subunit ribosomal RNA
Source: RNAcentral
UCAAGCGACUAAGUGCAUGUGGUGGAUGCCUUGGCGAUCACAGGCGAUGAAGGACGUGCAAGCCUGCGAAAAGCUCCGGGGAGCUGGCAAUGAAGCUUUGAUCCGGAGAUGUCCGAAUGGGGAAACCCACUCCGCAAGGAGUAUCCCAGACUGAAUACAUAGGUCUGUGGAAGCGAACCCGGCGAACUGAAACAUCUAAGUAGCCGGAGGAAAAGAAAUCAACCGAGAUUCCCAAAGUAGUGGCGAGCGAAAUGGGACCAGCCUGCACGAUAUAGCAUCUACGUUAGAAAAACGGAAUGGAAAGUCCGGCCACAGAGGGUGAUAGCCCCGUAUUCGAAAACCUGGGUGUGGAACUAAGCGUGCGACAAGUAGGGCGGGACACGUGAAAUCCUGUCUGAAGAUGGGGGGACCAUCCUCCAAGGCUAAAUACUCGUGAUCGACCGAUAGUGAACCAGUACCGUGAGGGAAAGGCGAAAAGAACCCCGGGAGGGGAGUGAAAUAGAUCCUGAAACCGCAUGCAUACAAACAGUGGGAGCCCCCUCGUGGGGUGACUGCGUACCUUUUGUAUAAUGGGUCAGCGACUUACGUUCAGUAGCGAGCUUAACCGAAUAGGGGAGGCGUAGGGAAACCGAGUCCGAAUAGGGCGUCUUAGUUGCUGGGCGUAGACCCGAAACCAGGUGAUCUAUCCAUGGCCAGGAUGAAGGUGCGGUAACACGCACUGGAGGUCCGAACCCACUAACGUUGAAAAGUUAGGGGAUGAGCUGUGGAUAGGGGUGAAAGGCUAAACAAACCUGGAAAUAGCUGGUUCUCCCCGAAAACUAUUUAGGUAGUGCCUCAAGUAUCACUCUCGGGGGUAGAGCACUGUAAUCGUUGGGGGGGUCAUUGCGAUCUACCCCGCGAUAGCAAACUCCGAAUACCGAGAAGUGCCAGCUUGGGAGACAGACAUCGGGUGCUAACGUCCGGUGUCAAGAGGGAAACAACCCAGACCGCCAGCUAAGGUCCCAAAUGAUAUGCUAAGUGGGAAACGAAGUGGGAAGGCAUAGACAGCCAGGAGGUUGGCUUAGAAGCAGCCAUCCUUUAAAGAAAGCGUAAUAGCUCACUGGUCGAGUCGUCCUGCGCGGAAGAUGUAACGGGGCUCAAGCAUAUAACCGAAGCUGCGGAUGUCCUUGUGACAUGGUAGGGGAGCGUUCUGUAAGCCUGCGAAGGUGUCUCGUAAGGGAUGCUGGAGGUAUCAGAAGUGCGAAUGCUGACAUGAGUAGCGAUAAAGCGGGUGAAAAGCCCGCUCGCCGAAAGCCCAAGGUUUCCUACGCAACGUUCAUCGGCGUAGGGUGAGUCGGCCCCUAAGGCGAGGCUGAAAAGCGUAGUCGAUGGGAAACAGGUCAAUAUUCCUGUACCUCGCUGUAAUGCGAUGGGGGGACGGAGAAGGUUAGGCCAGCCAUCUGUUGGAAUAGGUGGUUUAAGCGUGUAGGGAGAUCCUCUAGGCAAAUCCGGAGGGUCAAUCCUGAGGCGUGAUGACGAGUCUGCUUGCAGACGAAGUGGUUGAUACCCAGCUUCCAAGAAAAGCCUCUAAGCUUCAGUUACAGCGGGACCGUACCGCAAACCGACACAGGUGGGCAGGAUGAAAAUUCUAAGGCGCUUGAGAGAACUCAGCAGAAGGAACUCGGCAAAUUUGCACCGUAACUUCGGGAGAAGGUGCGCCUCAAUAAGGUGUAGUCCCUCGCGGGCGAAGCCGUAAGAGGUUGCAGUGAAAUGGUGGCUGCGACUGUUUAAUAAAAACACAGCACUCUGCAAACACGAAAGUGGACGUAUAGGGUGUGACGCCUGCCCGGUGCCGGAAGGUUAAGUGAUGGGGUGCAAGCUCUUGAUCGAAGCCCCGGUAAACGGCGGCCGUAACUAUAACGGUCCUAAGGUAGCGAAAUUCCUUGUCGGGUAAGUUCCGACCUGCACGAAUGGCGUAACGAUGGCCACACUGUCUCCUGCUGAGACUCAGCGAAAUUGAAAUGUUUGUGAAGAUGCAAUCUCCCCGCGGCUAGACGGAAAGACCCCAUGAACCUUUACUGUAGCUUUGCAUUGGACUGUGAACCGAUCUGUGUAGGAUAGGUGGGAGGCUAUGAAACCAGGACGCUAGUUCUGGUGGAGCCGUCCUUGAAAUACCACCCUGGUUUGUUUGCGGUUCUAACCUAGGCCCCUGAAUCGGGGUCGGGGACAGUGCAUGGUGGGCAGUUUGACUGGGGCGGUCUCCUCCUAAAGGGUAACGGAGGAGUACGAAGGUACGCUUAGAACGGUCGGAAAUCGUUCGCAAAGUGCAAUGGCAAAAGCGUGCUUGACUGCGAGACCCACAAGUCGAGCAGGUGCGAAAGCAGGUCAUAGUGAUCCGGUGGUUCUGUAUGGAAGGGCCAUCGCUCAACGGAUAAAAGGUACUCUGGGGAUAACAGGCUGAUACCGCCCAAGAGUUCAUAUCGACGGCGGUGUUUGGCACCUCGAUGUCGGCUCAUCUCAUCCUGGGGCUGUAGCCGGUCCCAAGGGUAUGGCUGUUCGCCAUUUAAAGAGGUACGUGAGCUGGGUUUAAAACGUCGUGAGACAGUUUGGUCCCUAUCUGCCGUGGGCGCUGGAAGUUUGAGAGGGCCUGCUCCUAGUACGAGAGGACCGGAGUGGACAUUCCUCUGGUGUACCGGUUGUGACGCCAGUCGCAUCGCCGGGUAGCUAAGAAUGGAAGAGAUAACCGCUGAAAGCAUCUAAGCGGGAAACUCGCCUCAAGAUGAGACUUCCCUGGAGACUCGAUCUCCCUCAAGGGUCGUUCAAGACCAGGACGUUGAUAGGCUGGGUGUGGAAGCGCAGUAAUGCGUUAAGCUAACCAGUACUAAUUGCCCGUGAGGCUUGAUCCU